Talpa occidentalis (Iberian mole) is the source of this 1051-nucleotide long non-coding RNA. RefSeq lists it as uncharacterized. NCBI's taxonomy places the organism in Eukaryota, Metazoa, Chordata, Mammalia, Eulipotyphla, Talpidae. The record is from RefSeq and is a predicted model, not a curated record. The transcript is spliced from 8 exons.
CUUUCUUCUUUAUUUUUCAGUCCAAGCUCUGCCAGGAUCUCCCAAACACAAGGUGGCAAGAAGAGCCAAUGGCAGCAGCUUGGACAAGGAAGCGGAACCUCUGAGAGUUAGAUCCAAGCCGCAGAGAUCAACUGUAUGUGUGGGCUCCAUGACAAGCGCGCCCUGGAGUUGUGAGCUGCGCAACAUGCAAGUUCCCUGCUGAUAGAACAGUCAUGGCUGCAUCCCCAGGACACAGCUGAACCCGACUCAUACUGAGUCCACCUGACGGCUGUCUCCUUGUCCCAUGGGAGAACUCACAGACAUUCCAGUGGGAGAAAACAGGAUCUGUUGAAGGCCCAAAAGCUGGAAACCGAAGAAGAGACUCACUGUGGAGGUCCCAGAGACAUUGCUUGUGGACCUGGUUUGAAACUGGAAAAGGGCAGGAGGUAGAGAUGAGCUCCAGCAGAAGUGGGGGAAGCGACAAGUAGCUGUCAGAAUUGGAAUGCAUAUCAGUUAUGCUGGGAGACAAUGAAAACAUCAAAAAGCACAUGAAAAAUUCAGGUCCUCAGAAGCAGCUCGGGACAGAUCGACCAAGAAGAAAGAUUAAGAAGAAGAAAAUGGAUGGUGGAUAAACAACUGCUCUGUUCCUUGCAAGAUUCAGCCUUCUUUAUGGAGAAGGAGAGAGAAAGGAAUCCACCGGGGUAACUCCUGGCUCACUCCAUGCUGGGGGCAUACAGAGCUUUGAGACAUUCUCUGCAGUGACUUGCUGUUUCAAGUGUCUCUAAGAAACUUCAGCCGCUAUUUCCUAACGAAGCUUCUGGUGAAAAAUGGACUCUGACCAGUGUGUGAACAGCAGUGCCCUGCACUGCCUGGCAGAGCCAGCCGUGUUGGCCAGCCCGGUGGAUGAACAGAUAGGCAGAUCAAGUCUUCGGUAAACACCAAGCUUUGCUCGACAGCAAUGACUGCCUUCUGCUGACUCCAGCAGGCACUUCCAGGAUAUUAAUGACUUGUACUAAACAGAACGCUAGAGUUUUCCACAUUUUUUUAAGGCUGCAAAAAUUAAAGCUACUGU